GAUGAAGAACGUAGUGAAAUGCGAUAAGUAAUGUGAAUUGCAGAAUUCAGUGAAUCAUCGAAUCUUUGAACGCACAUUGCGCCCGCCAGUAUUCUGGCGGGCAUGCCUGUUCGAGCGUCAUUUCAACCAUCAAGCCCCGGGCUUGUGUUGGGGACCUGCGGCUGCCGCAGGCCCUGAAAUGCAGUGGCGGGCUCGCUGUCACUCCGAGCGUAGUAAUACAUCUCGCUCUGGACGUGCUGCGGGUUCCGGCCGUUAAAAGCCUUAUUUAACCAAGGUUGACCUCGGAUCAGGUAGGAAGACCCGCUGAACUUAAGCAUAUCAAUAAGCGGAGGA
This 333-nucleotide unclassified non-coding RNA is filed under the name soil metagenome. RNAcentral's name for it is "partial contains 5.8S ribosomal RNA, internal transcribed spacer 2, and large subunit ribosomal RNA". The stretch from base 1 to 120 matches the Rfam family "5.8S ribosomal RNA", at positions 35 to 154 of the family's 154-position model. The record is from RNAcentral.